UGAAGUGUCCGCGAGGAUCAAGGUUGUACACAACUCUACAUCCCCCCGUCCCAUUGAAUUUCUCUUGGCAUUUCUCGACGUGCUUCUUAGAUCUGUUUCUGACAGCCAGUAAGGGAAAAAAAAUAGGCUUUUGCGUCACACGAACGGCAGCAGCAAUAGCAACAAGGAAAAUGGAGUGGGCAGGUGAAGUAUUCCCAAAGUUUUGAAACCAACACAUCCCUCCCAUUAUUUGGACACUGAAGGAAAUUUCCAAGGCACUUACAUAUAGGGAAGAAAGACAGGAGGUGACAGUGAACAAGGUAAAUUUGUCUGCUUAACUACCCCAGUCCUGUACCUGCAUUCUGUUUCUCAUGAAGUUCUUCAUCAGGCUGCAAAUGGAAGGAAAAUGGGUGCUGUUUG
Molecule: long non-coding RNA, 399 nt
Organism: Podarcis raffonei (Aeolian wall lizard)
Lineage: Eukaryota; Metazoa; Chordata; Lepidosauria; Squamata; Lacertidae
Exons: 3
Source: RefSeq, a predicted model, not a curated record